GAUGAACGCUAGCUACAGGCUUAGCACAUGCAAGUCGAGGGGCAGCGAUAUCGAAAGCUUGCUUUCGGUAGCCGGCGACCGGCGCACGGGUGAGUAACGCGUAUCGAACCUGCCUCAUACUCGGGAAUAGCCUUGCGAAAGUAAGAUUAAUGCCCGGUGUUUUCAGAGUCCCGCAUGAGGCUUUGAACAAAGAUUUAUCGGUAUGAGAUGGCGAUGCGUCCCAUUAGCUUGUUGGCGGGGUAACGGCCCACCAAGGCAUCGAUGGGUAGGGGUUCUGAGAGGAAGGUCCCCCACAUUGGAACUGAGACACGGUCCAAACUCCUACGGGAGGCAGCAGUGAGGAAUAUUGGUCAAUGGGCGGAAGCCUGAACCAGCCAAGUAGCGUGCAGGAAGACGGCCCUCCGGGUUGUAAACUGCUUUUAGUUGGGAAUAAAACGGGGCUCGUGAGCCCCCUUGCAUGUACCAUCAGAAAAAGGACCGGCUAAUUCCGUG
This 492-nucleotide ribosomal RNA is filed under the name uncultured bacterium. RNAcentral's name for it is "partial 16S ribosomal RNA". It matches the Rfam family "Bacterial small subunit ribosomal RNA", at positions 28 to 507 of the family's 1533-position model. The record is from RNAcentral.